AGAGCGAACGCUGGCGGCGUGCUUAACACAUGCAAGUCGAACGCGCAGCAUUCUGUAGCAAUACAGGGUGUGGGCGCGUGGCGAACGGGUGCGUAACACGUGGAUAACCUUCCUUGAGGUGGGGAAUAACCCAGUGAAAAUUGGGCUAAUACCGCAUAACAUCGCGAUGGCACAUGCUGAUGCGAUCAAAGGCGCAAGUCGCCACAAGAGGGAUCCGCGGCCGAUUAGCUUGUUGGCGAGGUAAUGGCUCACCAAGGCGACGACGGGUA
Molecule: ribosomal RNA, 269 nt
Filed under: uncultured bacterium
Lineage: Bacteria
Description: partial small subunit ribosomal RNA
Rfam family: Bacterial small subunit ribosomal RNA
Source: RNAcentral